GCAUUGCCUUAGUAAGUUCUUCAUAAUCAACAUAAACUUCUUGACCAUCUUUUGGAGUGUUAAAUUCAGUUGUGUUACUGUGUAUAAAAUAUCUCCAAGUUUCUUAUCUUCUGGUCUAUCAACAUUUUCAUGGUCCUGAUUUCGUCGUUCCAAUUUAAUCCAAUCUCUGAAACAUACUAAAACUUCCAAAGCAUUGCUUCUCAAUGAACGAAGGGUGUCUCCACGUUGUUGUCUUGCUUGACUAAAUGCAGUCUAUGAUGCAACAAUUGAAAUUGGCACAUUCUGCACAUCCCAAGAAUAUCGGAAAGAAUAUGAAAUUGCUUUUCAUUCACAUGCUACCAUCCUAACGGUGAAAAUUCCUUUGUGCAAGGCUCUUUUU
This 379-nucleotide long non-coding RNA is filed under the name Nicotiana benthamiana. Its description in RNAcentral is "long non-coding RNA (NBEN_LNC026558)". The record is from RNAcentral. Lineage: Eukaryota; Viridiplantae; Streptophyta; Magnoliopsida; Solanales; Solanaceae.